CUAUGAGAGUACCCACAAGAACUGCUAAUUCUACCCCCCGGAUUUAACCACCCGGCUCUCAUAUUACAUAAUA
RNAcentral lists this transfer RNA (73 nucleotides) under Crocodylus niloticus (Nile crocodile). RNAcentral's name for it is "tRNA-Ser". Lineage: Eukaryota; Metazoa; Chordata; Crocodylia; Crocodylidae. The record is from RNAcentral.